RNAcentral lists this ribosomal RNA (301 nucleotides) under uncultured bacterium. Its description in RNAcentral is "partial 16S ribosomal RNA". It matches the Rfam family "Bacterial small subunit ribosomal RNA", at positions 509 to 807 of the family's 1533-position model. The record is from RNAcentral.
CAGUAGCCGCGGUAAUACGUAGGUGGCAAGCGUUGUCCGGAAUUAUUGGGCGUAAAGGGCUCGCAGGCGGUUUCUUAAGUCUGAUGUGAAAGCCCCUGGCUCAACCGGGGAGGGUCAUUGGAAACUGGGAAACUUGAGUGCAGAAGAGGAGAGUGGAAUUCCACGUGUAGCGGUGAAAUGCGCAGAGAUGUGGAGGAACACCAGUGGCGAAGGCGACUCUCUGGUCUGUAACUGACGCUGAGGAGCGAAAGCGUGGGGAGCGAACAGGAUUAGAUACCCCCGUAGUCCCUGUCUCUUAUAC